RNAcentral lists this ribosomal RNA (492 nucleotides) under uncultured bacterium. RNAcentral describes it as "partial 16S ribosomal RNA". It matches the Rfam family "Bacterial small subunit ribosomal RNA", at positions 29 to 507 of the family's 1533-position model. The record is from RNAcentral.
AGUGAACGCUGGCGGUAGGCCUAACACAUGCAAGUCGAACGGCAGCACAGUAAGAGCUUGCUCUUACGGGUGGCGAGUGGCGGACGGGUGAGGAAUACAUCGGAAUCUACUUUUUCGUGAGGGAUAACGUAGGGAAACUUACGCUAAUACCGCAUACGACCUACGGGUGAAAGCAGGGGAUCUUCGGACCUUGCGCGAUUGCAUGAGCCGAUGUCGGAUUAGCUAGUUGGCGGGGUAAAGGCCCACCAAGGCGACGAUCCGUAGCUGGUCUGAGAGGAUGAUCAGCCACACUGGAACUGAGACACGGUCCAGACUCCUACGGGAGGCAGCAGUGGGGAAUAUUGGACAAUGGGCGCAAGCCUGAUCCAGCCAUACCGCGUGGGUGAAGAAGGCCUUCGGGUUGUAAAGCCCUUUUGUUGGGAAAGAAAAGCAGCAGGUUAAUACCCCGCUGUUCUGACGGUACCCAAAGAAUAAGCACCGGCUAACUUCGUG